RNAcentral lists this ribosomal RNA (459 nucleotides) under uncultured bacterium. RNAcentral describes it as "partial 16S ribosomal RNA". It matches the Rfam family "Bacterial small subunit ribosomal RNA", at positions 338 to 794 of the family's 1533-position model. The record is from RNAcentral.
CCUACGGGCGGCAGCAGUGAGGAAUAUUGGUCAAUGGGCUUACGCCUGAACCAGCCAAGUCGCGUGAGGGAAGACUGCCCUAUGGGUUGUAAACCUCUUUUGUCAGGGAGCAACGCCGGCUACGUGUAGCCGGACUGAGAGUACCUGAAGAAAAAGCAUCGGCUAACUCCGUGCCAGCAGCCGCGGUAAUACGGAGGAUGCGAGCGUUAUCCGGAUUGAUUGGGUUUAAAGGGUGCGUAGGCGGAAUGCCAAGUCAGCGGUAAAAUCGCGGGGCUCAACCUCGCUCCGCCGUUGAAACUGGCGUUCUUGAGUGGGCGAGAAGUAUGCGGAAUGCGUGGUGUAGCGGUGAAAUGCAUAGAUAUCACGCAGAACUCCGAUUGCGAAGGCAGCAUACCGGCGCCCAACUGACGCUGAAGCACGAAAGCGUGGGUAUCGAACAGGAUUAGAUACCCUUGUAGU